This 641-nucleotide ribosomal RNA is filed under the name Streptomyces sp. KLBMP 1179. RNAcentral's name for it is "bacterial SSU rRNA". It matches the Rfam family "Bacterial small subunit ribosomal RNA", at positions 103 to 758 of the family's 1533-position model. The record is from RNAcentral. Lineage: Bacteria; Bacillati; Actinomycetota; Actinomycetes; Kitasatosporales; Streptomycetaceae.
CGGGUGAGUAACACGUGGGCAAUCUGCCCUGCACUCUGGGACAAGCCCUGGAAACGGGGUCUAAUACCGGAUAUGACUGUCCAUCGCAUGGUGGAUGGUGUAAAGCUCCGGCGGUGCAGGAUGAGCCCGCGGCCUAUCAGCUUGUUGGUGAGGUAGUGGCUCACCAAGGCGACGACGGGUAGCCGGCCUGAGAGGGCGACCGGCCACACUGGGACUGAGACACGGCCCAGACUCCUACGGGAGGCAGCAGUGGGGAAUAUUGCACAAUGGGCGAAAGCCUGAUGCAGCGACGCCGCGUGAGGGAUGACGGCCUUCGGGUUGUAAACCUCUUUCAGCAGGGAAGAAGCGAAAGUGACGGUACCUGCAGAAGAAGCGCCGGCUAACUACGUGCCAGCAGCCGCGGUAAUACGUAGGGCGCAAGCGUUGUCCGGAAUUAUUGGGCGUAAAGAGCUCGUAGGCGGCUUGUCACGUCGGUUGUGAAAGCCCGGGGCUUAACCCCGGGUCUGCAGUCGAUACGGGCAGGCUAGAGUUCGGUAGGGGAGAUCGGAAUUCCUGGUGUAGCGGUGAAAUGCGCAGAUAUCAGGAGGAACACCGGUGGCGAAGGCGGAUCUCUGGGCCGAUACUGACGCUGAGGAGCGAAA